AACUAUCAAUCUUUGUCCACAGAGCUCAGAAUUCUACAAAGUCACCACUGAACAAUAUCAGAAAGCUGCCGAAGAGGUGGAAUCAAAGUUCAAGAGGUAUGAGUUUCAUCCUGUCUGCGCUGAUCUGCAGGCCAAAAUUCUCCAGUGUUACCGCCAGAACACCCAGCAGACCCUCAGCUGCUCUGCUCUGGCCAACCAGUACAUGCGCUGUGUCAAUCAGGCCAAACAGAGCAUGCUUGAGAAGGGAGGAUAAAGUCAACUUUUAGAACAAGCAGAACUCCUCAACGUUAAUUCCAGAGGCGGAACAUUUUUUUUUCCUAGUAAGAAAGUAACCCAUUUAAGGAGAAGACGAUUAAAGAGAAGUACCAAAGAGCAGAUCCAGCCGAAGCAUAUCCCAGUUUGAUCAACUGCAGUUUGAAAAGCCAAGGCCUAGAUCAGGUAUCAGCCAGCAAGGACACACUGCAGUGUUAGUCAACCCUGUUCAUGAUGAUUAAAAGAGAAAGGCAGCCCUCUACACCUUUCUAACUUUCUAUUCAACUCUUUCUUCUCACAAGCUCCAGGGCUGGGUGAAUCUUCAUUCCAGCAGAGCUGGGGCAGGGGGUUGGGAUGGGGGCUAAGGUAAUUGGAGCGGGGUGGGGAAAGGGCACCAUACCUCCCCCAGCAGUGCUGGGUGCAAUCGUCUAGGCUCUGGCAUGUUGGUUUUUCUCUUUUUCUUUUCUCCCUUGACUAUAUAAGACCUACUUCAUUUUAACUUACUAUGGUGAUCAUAUAAGUAAGACAAAAAGGAGAGAAAAAUGUACCUCUUUUACUGGAAUAAUGUUUAUGAUUACAAGUGAAAUAAGGCAUUUUUUUAUCAACAUAAAGGCAACCUUGGCUUAUACAACCUCUUCUCGAUCAUGAAUACUGACAUCUUUACUGCACUCACUAUCAAUAAUAAAUAUAUUUUCCGAAGAAGACUGGCA
Molecule: long non-coding RNA, 962 nt
Filed under: Ursus americanus (American black bear)
Lineage: Eukaryota; Metazoa; Chordata; Mammalia; Carnivora; Ursidae
Description: lncRNA (ENSUAMG00000009825.1)
Source: RNAcentral